RNAcentral lists this long non-coding RNA (422 nucleotides) under Homo sapiens (human). Its description in RNAcentral is "HSALNT0366460". The record is from RNAcentral. Lineage: Eukaryota; Metazoa; Chordata; Mammalia; Primates; Hominidae.
UCGAGGGGCAAGGCUGAUGCUCCGGGCCAGCUGGGGUCUCUGGGUAGCGGCGGAGAAGGAAGGAGGAAGAGCGGAGGCCAGGGCGGGCUCUAGGCCGUGGAAUCUGGGGCCUUAAAGCCCCUUCGUCUCCCCAGCACCCACUCUCUGGGGGCAGGUGGGCCCGGUGACAGUAACCUUCAGGGAGCCCUGAAGACCAUGGAGGACUACUGACCAACAACCUCUGACCUUCACCCCUCUGGAUGGGGGACGAAUCACUAGGCAAAGGGGAACAAUGGGAAGGAGACAAAAUGGCUGCCUUUACAGCUGCAGCAAGAUGUGGAAACACUGGUUCCCUAGGCACCUCCAUUGUCUUCCCGCCUUGGGAGCAUGAAAUAAAUAAAGUGUGAAGGGGAACAUGAGGAAGACUGAUCCAAGUCACUUGA